This 347-nucleotide unclassified non-coding RNA is filed under the name soil metagenome. RNAcentral's name for it is "partial contains 5.8S ribosomal RNA, internal transcribed spacer 2, and large subunit ribosomal RNA". The stretch from base 1 to 119 matches the Rfam family "5.8S ribosomal RNA", at positions 36 to 154 of the family's 154-position model. The record is from RNAcentral.
AUGAAGAACGUAGCAAAAUGCGAUAAGUAAUGUGAAUUGCAGAAUUCAGUGAAUCAUCGAAUCUUUGAACGCACAUUGCGCCCGCUGGUAUUCCGGCGGGCAUGCCUGUUCGAGCGUCAUUUCAACCCUCAAGCCCCCGGGUUUGGUGUUGGGGAUCGGCUCUGCCCUUCUGGGCGGUGCCGCCCCCGAAAUACAUUGGCGGUCUCGCUGCAGCCUCCAUUGCGUAGUAGCUAACACCUCGCAACUGGAACGCGGCGCGGCCAUGCCGUAAAACCCCAACUUCUGAAUGUUGACCUCGGAUCAGGUAGGAAUACCCGCUGAACUUAAGCAUAUCAAUAAGCGGAGGA